RNAcentral lists this unclassified non-coding RNA (552 nucleotides) under Hevea brasiliensis (rubber tree). The record is from RNAcentral. Lineage: Eukaryota; Viridiplantae; Streptophyta; Magnoliopsida; Malpighiales; Euphorbiaceae.
GGCACUUCCAUUAGUGGCUCUCUGAUCAAUUUCCCUUGAAUUACUAUCCUCUGGCGCAUUCCCCAGGUCCUCUGAUUCAGGUUUCAGCAAUUUCUUCUUCAAUUUAAUCCUCUGUUCUCGUAGAAGUUUUGCACAGUUUUCACAUUGCCAAGCAUGUUCUGUUUUAGAUAGAAGCUCAGGCUUUGUGAAACAAGCCAAACAACUCUCCACUGACACGGGAGCAUCAGUACUAUCAACCUCAUCUGGAUCAGAUUCAGAGCUAUUUCCAAUAGCAGAACUAGCUUCUCCGAAUCCAUUUGCCACUGAAGCAGCACCACUUAGUAAAGGCUUUUCAGCCGGCCCUGCAACCGGCUCAGGUUCAUUAAACAGGCCACCAAAACCAUCAAAGUCCAAAAUAUCUUGUUCUGGGGACACCUCGCUUUCUCCUUUCAGUACAUCAUUGGUAGUUGAGGUUUCUUCUUUAUAUGGAAGCAACAGAAUUUCUGAAUCUUUUACUUGUAACGGGGCUUCAACUUCCUCGAGGCUUGCUGAUGAAUCAAGAUUUGAAUCCAC